RNAcentral lists this ribosomal RNA (253 nucleotides) under uncultured Pelagibacterales bacterium. Its description in RNAcentral is "partial 16S ribosomal RNA". It matches the Rfam family "Bacterial small subunit ribosomal RNA", at positions 524 to 776 of the family's 1533-position model. Lineage: Bacteria; Pseudomonadati; Pseudomonadota; Alphaproteobacteria; Candidatus Pelagibacterales. The record is from RNAcentral.
UACGGAGGGAUCUAGCGUUAUUCGGAAUUACUGGGCGUAAAGCGAGCGUAGGCUGAAUUGUAAGUUGGAUGUGAAAUCCCAGAGCUUAACUCUGGAACUGCAUCCAAAACUACAUUUCUUGAGUUUGGUAGAGGAGAGUGGAAUUCCUAGUGUAGAGGUGAAAUUCGUAGAUAUUAGGAGGAACACCAGUGGCGAAGGCGACUCUCUGGGCCAAUACUGACGCUGAGGUUCGAAAGCGUGGGUAGCGAACAGG